This 73-nucleotide transfer RNA is filed under the name Paramuricea clavata. It matches the Rfam family "tRNA". Rfam says of the family: Transfer RNA (tRNA) molecules are approximately 80 nucleotides in length. The record is from Rfam by way of RNAcentral. Lineage: Eukaryota; Metazoa; Cnidaria; Anthozoa; Malacalcyonacea; Plexauridae.
GAUUCUGUAGCUCAGUUGGUUAGAGGGCUGCACCGGAAUCGCAGGGCCGCAGGUUCAAUUUCUGCCAGGGACC